RNAcentral lists this long non-coding RNA (595 nucleotides) under Carica papaya (papaya). RNAcentral describes it as "long non-coding RNA (CPAP_LNC005817)". Lineage: Eukaryota; Viridiplantae; Streptophyta; Magnoliopsida; Brassicales; Caricaceae. The record is from RNAcentral.
CUACGGACCCGGUCCGUUUACCAUCUCCUAGGAUAUCUAGUAAGGCUGUAGCCAUUAUCCAUUUAUCAAUCCACAUAAUUUUUUCUAUUUUUCUUGAUCUCAUUAUCCAAUCAAAUAUAAACACGUAAACCAAUAAUGAACACCAAACAAGAUAACAACGGGUUCACAAUAAUUCAAACCAUAAUAAAUGAAACCGUGAUUCAUGCACACGAAACCAUAAAAUAAAUACAUCAGAUAUCAUACUGCAUUCUAAACUAUAAAAUAGAUCAAUUAACAACUGACCAAAAAAUACAUCAGAUUCGGGCUCCAUUAGCAACCUUAAUUAAUUAUACACAAUUCAUGAAAUAUCGUUUUAUCAUUUAUUGAGCUUUAAUACCGUGAUAGAAAAUAGGGUGAGAAAUUCUUACUUGUUUCGGGGUCUGAAAUCGGCUUUAUAAUGUGCCUACUGGUUGUCCCUAAAUUCCCUGAAUUUUCUUCGGGAAACUGAAAUGCACUACCGGUACCUGCACGUGUCCCAAAAAACUCCAAAUCAGACCCAGGGCCCCUUUUUGGCCAAUAUCAGAAUUUUGACACGGCGGCUCCGUCGUGCUCCGGC